RNAcentral lists this ribosomal RNA (465 nucleotides) under uncultured bacterium. Its description in RNAcentral is "bacterial SSU rRNA". It matches the Rfam family "Bacterial small subunit ribosomal RNA", at positions 30 to 507 of the family's 1533-position model. The record is from RNAcentral.
AUUGAACGCUGGCGGUAUGCUUAAGACAUGCAAGUCGAACGGUAACAGGUUAAGCUGACGAGUGGCGGACGAGUGAGUAACGCGUGGGAAUCUACCUUGUAGUGGGGGAUAAGCCAGGGAAACUUGGACUAAUACCGCAUACGCCCUAAGGGGGAAAGGCGCAAGUCGCUAUAAGAUGAGCCCGCGUCUGAUUAGGUAGUUGGUGGGGUAAAGGCCUACCAAGCCGACGAUCAGUAGCUGGUCUGAGAGGAUGAUCAGCCACGUCGGGACUGAGACACGGCCCGGACUCCUACGGGAGGCAGCAGUCGGGAAUAUUGGACAAUGGGGGAAACCCUGAUCCAGCAAUACCGCGUGUGUGAAGAAGGCCUGCGGGUUGUAAAGCACUUUUGUUGGGGAAGAAACCGGCCGGGUUAAUACCCUGGUUGAAUGACGGUACCCAAAGAAUAAGCACCGGCUAACUUCGUG